AUAUCAAUAAGCGGAGGAAAAGAAACUAACAAGGAUUCCCCUAGUAACGGCGAGUGAAGCGGGAAGAGCUCAAAUUUGAAAUCAAAUAUCUUCGAUGUUUGAAUUGUAAGCUAGAGAGGUGUUUUCGGCGGGUGCCUGGGUAUAAGUCCUCUUGGAAUAGGGCGUCAUAGAGGGUGAGAAUCCCGUCUUUGACUCGGAGCUACCUGCUGUGUGAUACAUCGUCAAAGAGUCGGUUUGUUUGGGAAUGCAGACCUAAAUGGGUGGUAAAUUCCAUCUAAAGCUAAAUAUAGGCGAGAGACCGAUAGCGCACAAGUA
This 315-nucleotide ribosomal RNA is filed under the name uncultured eukaryote. RNAcentral describes it as "partial large subunit ribosomal RNA". It matches the Rfam family "Eukaryotic large subunit ribosomal RNA", at positions 40 to 350 of the family's 3401-position model. The record is from RNAcentral.